GACGAACGCUGGCGGCGUGCCUAAUACAUGCAAGUAGAACGCUGAAGAGAGGAGCUUGCUCUUCUUGGAUGAGUUGCGAACGGGUGAGUAACGCGUAGGUAACCUGCCUGGUAGCGGGGGAUAACUAUUGGAAACGAUAGCUAAUACCGCAUAAUAUUAAUUAUUGCAUGAUAAUUAAUUGAAAGAUGCAACUGCAUCACUACCAGAUGGACCUGCGUUGUAUUAGCUAGUUGGUGAGGUAACGGCUCACCAAGGCGACGAUACAUAGCCGACCUGAGAGGGUGAUCGGCCACACUGGGACUGAGACACGGCCCAGACUCCUACGGGAGGCAGCAGUAGGGAAUCUUCGGCAAUGGGGGGAACCCUGACCGAGCAACGCCGCGUGAGUGAAGAAGGUUUUCGGAUCGUAAAGCUCUGUUGUAAGAGAAGAACGGGUGUGAGAGUGGAAAGUUCACACUGUGACGUAUCUACCAGAAAGGACGG
Molecule: ribosomal RNA, 483 nt
Filed under: Streptococcus sanguinis
Lineage: Bacteria; Bacillati; Bacillota; Bacilli; Lactobacillales; Streptococcaceae
Description: bacterial SSU rRNA
Rfam family: Bacterial small subunit ribosomal RNA
Source: RNAcentral